This 433-nucleotide ribosomal RNA is filed under the name uncultured bacterium. RNAcentral's name for it is "partial 16S ribosomal RNA". It matches the Rfam family "Bacterial small subunit ribosomal RNA", at positions 29 to 507 of the family's 1533-position model. The record is from RNAcentral.
AACGAACGCUGGCGGCAUGCCUAACACAUGCAAGUCGAACGAGACCUUCGUGUCUAGUUGCUCACGCGUGCGUAACGCGGGGGAACCUUCCCUUAGAUUCGGAAUAACUCCCCUACGUGGGGGCUAAUACCGGAUAAUGUAUGCUGACCAAAGAUUUAUCGACUUUGGAUGGGCCGGCGAUGUAUUAACUAUUUGGUAGCGUAAAAGCCUACGAAGGCUACGAUACAUAGCUGGUCUGAGAGGAUGAUCAGCCACUCUGGGACGGAGACACGGCCGAGAAUCCUACACGAGGCAGCAGUGGGUAAUCUAGGAAUAUGGGCGAAAGGAUGAUCCAGUACUGCUGCGAGAGUGAUGAAGGCCUUAGAGUUGUAAAGCUCUUUUACACGGGACGAUAAUGACAGUACCGGAAGAAUAAGCUCCGGCUAACUUCGUG